Molecule: small nuclear RNA, 155 nt
Filed under: Procavia capensis (Cape rock hyrax)
Lineage: Eukaryota; Metazoa; Chordata; Mammalia; Hyracoidea; Procaviidae
Description: U1 spliceosomal RNA (ENSPCAG00000020641.1)
Rfam family: U1 spliceosomal RNA
About the family: U1 is a small nuclear RNA (snRNA) component of the spliceosome (involved in pre-mRNA splicing). Its 5' end forms complementary base pairs with the 5' splice junction, thus defining the 5' donor site of an intron.
Source: RNAcentral
AUGCUUACCUGGAGGGGAAGGGAGAUGACAAGGUCAUGAAGGUGGUUUUCCCAGGGCAAGGUUCAUCCACUGCACUGCAGACACGCUCACCCCUACAUGUGGGAAACUUGAUGAAAUAAUUCGUGGUAAUGGGGACCGUGUUAGUGCUCUCCCCU